UUUCUUGUUUGGAUAUGCCCUACCUUUGAAGGUUAAGCUGUGCUCUGCUUUCAGGUGCUCAUGUCCCCCUAUCACCCGCUCUCAUGAUAGCAGAUUGGAUGCUGUUGCUUAUGGCAUGGUGUUGCUCUUUCAGAAGAUCUCCAUCCACAUGGCAUACUUCUGCAGGUUUCAGCUCUCAGGAGGCUUUUCCCUGCUCUGGUCUCACACCUGAGCAGGAAGGCAGAACUGACCAGGUCCAAGAGCUUGCUGAAACUUAGCUCUGUACCAGCCAGUCUGUGGUCUCCUUUUGACACUGCUGUGCCUCUGACUAAAGGAAUCUCAUCAAAUCAAGUCAAGUCAUAAAGACCCAUCACAGCAAGGUGAAAACUUGGCCCAAAGAUUAAGUGCUUUGCUGACCUUCAGAAAAUGUGAAGCAGAUACAGAUGAUGAACUCAAGUCACCUGGCGUCCUGUUAGAUCUUCUCUUACCCAAGCUGCCAGCCUGCUUUGUGGGAAACUCAGCAAGAAACAUGGGUAAUGAACCUGCCCAAGUGCAUGGAAGAAUGGAUCUGCUGCUAAACAGCAAGUAAUUCUUUAGAUUUAAGAAAUAACAUAACUUGUAAGGAGGAAGUUUACAAAAUAUGUCAUCUGAAGAUACUGCCAUGUUUAAUGCAUUUGGUGCCAAUGAUUUGCUUUCCCUUGCUAUGCUGUUUACUGAGCAGCUGGUGCAGAGCUGUUGAGCUUGCUAUUGAAGAUGAAAGGCUGGUUGUUUUUCAAAGCCCUUUGUGUUUUUUUACUCCUAACUGGAGCUGUCAGUGCAGAUGCUUUUUAUUUCCUUUAUAACUGGAGGUCUGAAGUCCCUUCUCUAAAGAUUUCCUCAAUUCAAAGGAAGACUUCUUUUGCUCUCAGUCCCCAAAGAGUUGGAGUGUCUUUGCUCUUUUGUUUGGGCUGAAGACUCCACAGGCAAUGGCAGCACCAUCGAAGGCAUGCUGAAAACCUUUAACCUCCAGACAGCCAGUGUCCCAUCUGAAGCUCCUUUGAUGGGGGCUUAAGGAAUUCAGUUUGUCCUGAUUGUUUCUGUGGCCUGGGAAUGAGAACACUUCUCUUGAACUAUAGAUGCAGUGAAAAUUUUCUGGUGAUUAUUGUGUUUAUAGUAGUAGAUAAAAGAUGCUGUUUCCUCCCCUAAAAUAUUGUCAGAGAAGAAGAGUUAGAUGCUGUACAAACCUCCACAAAGAGAUGCUUACUGAAGUUGUUUAAAAGCCAAGUAAUCAAGCUAUGAGAGGUCAAGUAAUUUACCCAAGGUUGUGAAAGGGUGAUGAGACACAGCUGAGAAUUGAAACCAAGGUCUUGCUUUGAUACCUUAACAACUUAAUUUGCCUGUUAUGGUGCCAUCUCUUACACACUGAAACAGGCUGAAUUACAGGAUUUUCUUUCUUUCAUAUAGUCUGUCAGUUGGUGUUUCUGUUACUUUGGUGGAGGAGCUAUCUUAGAAAUCUGUAUGAUUAGUCAUUUUCCCUCGCCCAAAAAAAUUCAGCCAAUGGGUUUCUCUCAGAGUGGAAAUCUAAAGAGCAAUGCCUAUCACACCCCUUUCAAGCACAUGGUUUUCCCUCUCAGCCUGCUCCAGCAGAGCUGUCAGUCAGACUGAUGCUCCUCAAUAGGUACAUAGCCCAAUUGGCAAGCAGUCUGUGUAAAUCUGGUAACAAAGCCAUACCAAAAAGUACUGGAUCCUGAGUGUUCUCCAAAGCUCUCCCAUCAGUGCAUUCUAGUGACUUCUGACUGAUGACAUGCUCUUCAGAUAAAUGUACUUUUCGUCUAUGAAUGUUUUCUGUAAACGUGAAAUCAUAAAAGUGACUUCAAUUGGUGUUUCCCAGGUUGCACUGUAGUCCUGCUGCUGACACCCCUCUUGCAGUCCACAUGGUAUAACUGGUGAGGAGCUGCAGUUGAGCUGCUUAUGAGUUGGGUGGGGUGGUAAAAUUCACCCAACUACUGUCACCUUAGCUGAGUCAGAGAGUAGCAGUCCCACAGUCACAGUGUUCACUGUUGACUAGAGAGGGCUUACUGUCCUUGCUGAGCAGUUUGAGCACUGAGCAAAGCGUGAAUUGAUUCUGAAUGUGUUGAAACCAGUGCAGGAAUGCCUCUGGAUAUAUUUCCAGCUUAAUAUUUCCCAUUUAUCAGAAAGGAUCACUGAGAGAUCCAAGCAGGUAUCUGCUUGCUAUUGUAAGAUGUUUCCUUUCCUGCUUUAUAAAGGAGCUUCUUUUUCCUGUGCAUCCACACAUGAGCUACUGCUUUGCUGGUAGUGAUUACAGAGAUGAAGUGAGAAAUACCUAAGCAUGAGGCAGGCAACACAGCUACCAAAGAAGACUUGUGACCUGCAUCUUGCAUAUCAGAUCUCGAGAGAAUUGUGUAAAGAGGAAUUAAAAUGGACAUGACUACCAUUGAAGGUGACUGCAUCUUAGCAGGGAGUAUAGUUCUUCCUCUUCUUAUUUGGCCAAAAUGUACUGUAUUGUUAUAAAAAUCAGUCACUAAACCUGAAAAACUAGCAUUAGUUAGAUCAGAAGUCUGCACAGAGCUGGAAAAUUAAUGUGUCUUUUAUGUACUAGAGCAAUACCCUUGCUUUGCAUUCUCAGACAUUUUGCUUUCCCUACAUGAUUCUGUUACCAACUUUGCUGAUUUCUACUUUAAAAAGGUUUUGUUGAUUUUUAUUUUGUAAAUUUUAACCUCUUCAAAAAAGAUCCCAGGUGCACUAAAUAUGUCACCUCCUGCUGCAGAACCUGUUUGGCUUGAUAAUUAAUAGAUUGAUCACUGCUGGCAAUAGGUACACUAGUCAAAAUUGUACAUAACUGUUCUCUAUACUAAUGCAAUAAAAGUGGGUCUGCUUUUACA
Molecule: non-coding RNA, 2861 nt
Organism: Meleagris gallopavo (turkey)
Lineage: Eukaryota; Metazoa; Chordata; Aves; Galliformes; Phasianidae
Source: RefSeq, a predicted model, not a curated record